AGUGAACGCUGGCGGUAGGCCUAACACAUGCAAGUCGAACGGCAGCACAGUAAGAGCUUGCUCUUACGGGUGGCGAGUGGCGGACGGGUGAGGAAUACAUCGGAAUCUACUUUUUCGUGGGGGAUAACGUAGGGAAACUUACGCUAAUACCGCAUACGACCUACGGGUGAAAGCAGGGGAUCUUCGGACCUUGCGCGAUUGAAUGAGCCGAUGUCGGAUUAGCUAGUUGGCGGGGUAAAGGCCCACCAAGGCGACGAUCCGUAGCUGGUCUGAGAGGAUGAUAAGCCACACUGGAACUGAGACACGGUCCAGACUACUACGGGAGGCAGCAGUGGGGAAUAUUGGGCAAUGGGCGCAAGCCUGAUCCAGCCAUACCGCGUGGGUGAAGAAGGCCUUCGGGUUGUAAAGCCCUUUUGUUGGGAAAGAAAAGCAGCAGGUUAAUACCCCGCUGUUCUGACGGUACCCAAAGAAUAAGCACCGGCUAACUUCGUG
RNAcentral lists this ribosomal RNA (492 nucleotides) under uncultured bacterium. Its description in RNAcentral is "partial 16S ribosomal RNA". It matches the Rfam family "Bacterial small subunit ribosomal RNA", at positions 29 to 507 of the family's 1533-position model. The record is from RNAcentral.